Molecule: ribosomal RNA, 330 nt
Filed under: uncultured eukaryote
Lineage: Eukaryota
Description: partial 18S ribosomal RNA
Rfam family: Eukaryotic small subunit ribosomal RNA
Source: RNAcentral
CCCUUAGAUGUUCUGGGCCGCACGCGUGCUACACUGAUGCAUUCAACGAGUCUAAAACCUGGUCUGAUAGGGCUGGGUAAUCUUUUGAAAGUGCAUCGUUAUUGGGAUAGAUGAUUGCAAUUCUUCAUCUUCAACGAGGAAUGCCUAGUAAACGCAAGUCAUCAGCUUGCAUUGAUUACGUCCCUGCCCUUUGUACACACCGCCCGUCGCUCCUACCGAUUGAAUGAUCCGAUGAAUACCAUGGAUUGAGAGUACGAAUAGGUUCGCUUAUUUCUGCUGCUCGAGAAGUGGAGUAAAUCUUAUCAUUUAGAGGAAGGAGAAGUCGUAACA